UAGAGUUUGAUCCUGGCUCAGAUUGAACGCUGGCGGCAUGCCUUACACAUGCAAGUCGAACGGUAACAGGUCUUCGGACGCUGACGAGUGGCGAACGGGUGAGUAAUACAUCGGAACGUGCCCAGUCGUGGGGGAUAACUACUCGAAAGAGUAGCUAAUACCGCAUACGAUCUGAGGAUGAAAGCGGGGGACCUUCGGGCCUCGCGCGAUUGGAGCGGCCGAUGGCAGAUUAGGUAGUUGGUGGGAUAAAAGCUUACCAAGCCGACGAUCUGUAGCUGGUCUGAGAGGACGACCAGCCACACUGGGACUGAGACACGGCCCAGACUCCUACGGGAGGCAGCAGUGGGGAAUUUUGGACAAUGGGCGAAAGCCUGAUCCAGCAAUGCCGCGUGCAGGAUGAAGGCCUUCGGGUUGUAAACUGCUUUUGUACGGAACGAAAAAGCUCCUUCUAAUACAGGGGGCCCAUGACGGUACCGUAAGAAUAAGCACCGGCUAACUACGUGCCAGCAGCCGCGGUAAUACGUAGGGUGCGAGCGUUAAUCGGAAUUACUGGGCGUAAAGCGUGCGCAGGCGGUUAUGUAAGACAGAUGUGAAAUCCCCGGGCUCAACCUGGGAACUGCAUUUGUGACUGCAUGGCUAGAGUACGGUAGAGGGGGAUGGAAUUCCGCGUGUAGCAGUGAAAUGCGUAGAUAUGCGGAGGAACACCGAUGGCGAAGGCAAUCCCCUGGACCUGUACUGACGCUCAUGCACGAAAGCGUGGGGAGCAAACAGGAUUAGAUACUCCUGGUAGUCCACGCUCUAAACGAUGUCAACU
This 814-nucleotide ribosomal RNA is filed under the name uncultured Delftia sp. Its description in RNAcentral is "bacterial SSU rRNA". It matches the Rfam family "Bacterial small subunit ribosomal RNA", at positions 1 to 817 of the family's 1533-position model. The record is from RNAcentral. Lineage: Bacteria; Pseudomonadati; Pseudomonadota; Betaproteobacteria; Burkholderiales; Comamonadaceae.